Molecule: ribosomal RNA, 253 nt
Filed under: uncultured bacterium
Lineage: Bacteria
Description: partial 16S ribosomal RNA
Rfam family: Bacterial small subunit ribosomal RNA
Source: RNAcentral
GACGGAAGGUGCAAGCGUUGCUCGGAAUUACUGGGCGUAAAGCGCGUGUAGGCGGUUGCCCUAGUCAGGUGUGAAAGCCUUGAGCUUAACUCAAGAAAUGCACUUGAUACUGGGCGACUAGAGGACCGGAGAGGAUAGUGGAAUUCCCAGUGUAGUGGUGAAAUACGUAGAGAUUGGGAAGAACACCAGUGGCGAAGGCGGCUAUCUGGACAGAUACCGACGCUGAGGCACGAAAGCUAGGGGAGCAAACAGG